CUCCCACUUACUUCCGCUGGUCUUCAGAUCUGGCAGCCUGAAAAUGAUGUCUCAGUUCUGCAGGCCUCUCCUUAGGGGGGGAGGUUGUGUCCCUUUACGGAAAGCCAACAUCCUCUGGGUCUGCAAACCAGGUUUCUUUAUUCCUCAUCUAUUUGGAGCAUUGAGGACUGCCGGGUCUUGAGGGAGCAGCUGCAUCACAAGAGGGGCUGAAGGAAUUCUGGAGGUUGCUGGCUCUUCGGGAGUUCCGUGUAUUCGGUAUGAUGAGGACGGAAAAAGGAUUGAAGAUUCCGACAAGAAUUGGGUGAAAACCAUCAUUCCCCCCUCCACUUUCAUAAUGAAUGUCGUUGAAUAUAUUUCAGAAGGAAAAUCGUUCUUCCUUGCUAACCAUUCAAAAGAAAGCACAUGAGGAAACAGAAGAAUUGGUAACGAUGUCUUGGAAUAACACAAGGAACCCUCUAGGAAUGAGUAAACUGUGCUGCACAUUUCACUUAGCAAAUUGAUAACUUCAGUAUAUUUCUUGUCUGAAUUAAAUGUAGUUCAGGGUUGUUCCAAUUAACAAAUGCUCAACUUUGACCUGAAUAGGAGGACACUUGCAAUAUGUACCGUAUUUUCUGGCUUAUAAGACGACCCCUGACUUCAGCGCUGAGUUGCAUGCCUAGAAAGUCGUCUUAUACGCGGGAAACUACCAUUAUUUCUGGUGUAUAAGACGACCCCCAACUUCGGCGCCGAUUGCUACGCCUUAGAAAGUUGUCUUAUACGCCGGAAUAUACAUACCUACUUAGUGAGCUGAGUUAAACCCGUGGGAUUGGCCUUAGGGGUAAAUCCGUUGGAUACUCGUGUCAAAACUUUGCAUAAAAUAAAAUAUGCACAGUACAUUUGGGAGUUCUUUUUGUACUCUUCAGCUGACCUGGCUCAAUUGGAGAUUUCUAUUCCUACCUUAAGACGUUUUCUUGCUUCUCAAUUUCACUGCAAAACUGAAUGAAUGUUUGCAAUUUAAACGCAGUCACUUAACAAGUGGACUUCAAAGACAAACUGUUAAAAUUGUCCUGCCAUGAAGUCAUUGAACGGGUGGAUCACAGCGUGAAUUUGGAGAGGGUUUAUUUAUGUUUAUUUUUAAAAAUAAGAAAAAGAGACAAAUCACAAAGAUCAAUUACUUCAUUGACCUUACAAGACGGCUCAGCCUAACUAACCUGGAGGAACGCGGACUAACCUAGAGGAGCACAACAAACUGACCGGCAUUGCAGGAUAGUCUAAAUUUUCUCGCAGAUCUGUUUGCAGUGUCAUACUUCAGCGACGCUAAGGGCACCAUCAUGUGAGAAAGUUUGAGAACCGCUGAUCCAGGGCUGCCAUUUUUUUGAUUCCCCACAUGGUCGUACAAGGCCAGCGUCAGCGUUCCCAGAGUCGAAUGAUAAAGCCUGUCUCAGCAAGUUCGUCCUUGUGUGAAUACAGCUAAUAGCAGUUUCUGGCACUCAAGCAGAAUGGAUUCGGAUUUACGACGCUGUGAUUCCCUUAAUGACUGCUGUCAAAACAGGUCUGGUCGUACGGAUGCCUCGACUUACGGCUGUCCCGACUUAGGGCCCAAAUUCCUGUCCCGAUUGCAGUGCUAAGUCGAGGACUUGCUGUAGCAUGUAAUGUUAGCGCUGAAAUGAAUUAGAACUCUCUUCCAAACGAUACACCAAGCUGCCCCGUCACCGUCUGCAUGUCAACGGGGAAGGGGCUGCUGAUAUCCUGAAGUCUUCCCAGGACGUCCUCGGUGCAGCUCGAUUAGGAUGUUUCUGGAGAAAGCAAAGCGGGAUCUCCAUCCUCAGUUAAGAGUGACUGUGAGCCAUAAGAAAAACUCCUAAUUCUUGGACGACGUCGUAAGGCAGGGGAUAAGGCUUGCAGGGACUCAAGGAAGAACCCAACCCUAUGCGCCUCUUAAAGAGCCGAGGUGGCGCAGCAGUUAGAGUGCAGUACUGCAGGCCACUUUAGCUGACUGUGUUCAGCAGGUCAGCGGUUCAAAUCUCACCGGCUCAAGGUUGACUCAGCCUUCCAUCCUUCCGGG
Molecule: long non-coding RNA, 2044 nt
Organism: Crotalus tigris (Tiger rattlesnake)
Lineage: Eukaryota; Metazoa; Chordata; Lepidosauria; Squamata; Viperidae
Exons: 6
Source: RefSeq, a predicted model, not a curated record